Molecule: non-coding RNA, 73 nt
Organism: Stegodyphus mimosarum
Lineage: Eukaryota; Metazoa; Arthropoda; Arachnida; Araneae; Eresidae
Source: Rfam
GACUUCGUGGUGUAGUGGUCAGCACGCUUGACGCGUAACCGAGAGGUCCGUGAUUCGAUUUCCGGCGAAGGCG